UCCUGAAUCCUGCCCUGCAUUGACGAGGACAGGGUUGGGGCGUCAAGGACAUUUAAGACGGAAAUAAGCAGAAGAGUUCCACACUCUUCCACCUAGGGGUCUGACCUGGUGUCUGCGUCUCAGUCCAGCUGUAAACACAGUUCACACUCAUUCACUCCAGGUGAACACAAGCCUUGUCGCCUCUGGGACUUGGGGCCGGAGCCCCCUCCUCCAGGAUGUCCUCCUGGACUUCUCUGCUCACCUGCCGCUAGGCCUUCGCACCCACAGUGCCCGACAGCAGCCUUCUGUUCCGUAAGCCUGGGGAGUGCAGGGCCCAGCACAGAUUGGGCCUCCCUCUCCUGGCCUCUUGGUGACUCACUGAACUGAACGCCAAGAGCUACAAGAAAGUCCGGUUUUCUGGCUCUUAGAGAAUUGGCAGGAUCCUGGACAGACUCUGUCCCUCCCCCCUGUCAAACCGAUUCCAACUCUCUAUCUGUGGCUGAAUCAGAAGAUCCUUGGCCCUCUUGACAGCCCUGCCUGCCUCUUUGGGAAAAGCAUGUGUUGGAAACUCAACCCUCAAAGCCGCAAUGCUGGGCAGUGGGGCCUGGUGGAUGACAGAGUGUGAAGCCCCUCGCAGGAUGCCGGCACCUGUCUUGGACUUCCCACCCUCCAGAACUGUGAGCCAAAUACAUUUCUGUUUGUUAUAAAUCACCCACUGUGUGCUAUCCUGAUACAACAGCAGAAAAUGGACAAAGACAUUCCCUGUCUGCCUCCCCUCGACACCAUCCUCCACACCACUCUUGUCUCUUUGUGUCCCUGUCCCCGUCACACUGUGAGGUUUUGCUUAGUCAUCUUCCGUCCCAGCACCUGGGAAGUGUUCUCAAACAAGUGCCCAGUAAAUAAAUACUGAAUGAAUGAAUGAA
Molecule: long non-coding RNA, 902 nt
Organism: Otolemur garnettii (small-eared galago)
Lineage: Eukaryota; Metazoa; Chordata; Mammalia; Primates; Galagidae
Exons: 3
Source: RefSeq, a predicted model, not a curated record